Long non-coding RNA from Oncorhynchus tshawytscha (Chinook salmon), 8544 nucleotides. The record is from Ensembl. NCBI's taxonomy places the organism in Eukaryota, Metazoa, Chordata, Actinopteri, Salmoniformes, Salmonidae.
CUCUACUCCUUAUUGUUACAUUAUAACUGAAGCACCAACCCCUCUACUCCUUAUUUUUACAUUAUAACUGAAGCACCAACCCCUCUACUCCUUAUUGUUACAUUAUAACUGAAGCACCAACCCCCUCUACUCCUUAUUGUUACAUUAUAACUGAAGCACCAACCCCCUCUACUCCUUAUUGUUACAUUUUAACUGAAGCACCAAUCCCCUCUACUCCUUAUUGUUACAUUAUAACUGAAGCACCAACCCCCUCUACUCCUUAACUAACAGCACACCAACGUCAUGUAGUGGUGAACUGUGAACAUCAUUGUCGUUUAAGCCACGUGUACCAGUAGUCUGGCAACUCUUCAGUUACUGGAUGUCUUCUGAGAGGAUGACUUACCGGAUGAGAAUAAACGGAUGAAUCCGAGACACAUGUUGAACGGUUAUCAUCACGGACACGGAGGAAGGAUCGAAGGGCUGAUGAAGCCGAUAGCAACGCUCCUCCUGACCAAUGGGCUGCCUCCAUUUCAAGUAACAUUAGGACAUUGAUUGAGGGGACCAAUGAUCAGGCCUCCUCCUCUGUGACGUCACGGUGUGACAUCAUCAUGGCGCGAUGCUGAGUAUCAGAGAAGCUCAGCUAAACAUUUCUACCACACUACUCCACCAUAACAACAACAGCUGUUUUGUUUAACAGUGAUGGUUAUCAUUGAAAUGUCAAAAAAGAGAGAAAACAGUUAAAAGCAAAAAUGGGAAUCUAAUUUACUGUGCAGAGUCCUUGGACCAGACCAGACCAGGGAGUACAGUGGACUACAGUAAUGACCUGUGAAUAAUUUAAUUAGACCCUGAGGUCUGGUCUAUCCACCUAUCAGAACAGCCUCCAGAGCCAUAGUCCUGGGUCGUAUUCAAUAGAAACUAACGGAAAAAACAUACCCGAAACAGGGAUGAAUUAUCCUGAACUGGUCCAAUAAGAAACUCUUGUUUUCAGGGCCUCCCGAGUGGCACAGCUGUCUAAGGCACUGCAUCGCAGGGCUUGAGGCAUCACUACAGACCUGGGUUCGAUCCCAGGCUGUGUCACAGCCAGCCGUGACCAGGAAACCCAUGAGGUGGCACACAAUUCGCUCAGCGUUGUUUGGAUUAGGGGAAGGUUUGGCCGGCCGACAUGUCCUUGUCCUUUCGCGAUAUAACGACUCCUUGUGGCAGGCCAGGCGCCUGCAAGCUGACUUCAGUCACCAGUGGAUGGUGUUUCCCCCGACACAUUGGUGCGGAUGGCUUUUGGGUUAAGCAAGCUUGGCAGGGUCGUGUUUCAGGAGGACGCAUGGCCCUUGACCUUUGCCUCUCCCGAGUCCGUAGGGAAGUUUCAGCGAUGGGACUGUAACUACGGAACUCUUGUUUUCCGUUGCAAACAGCUUUUCUACUUUGUACACUACUGAAUAUGACCCAAGCCAACUGGCCCACACCGGACUGCACAGCUCCGUUUGGCUGGAGGACAAGCUCUGCUGAGAGGGGAAUGGACAUGUGACUGUCCCAAAUAGCACCCUAUUCCCUAUCCAGUACACAAAGUAGUGCACUAAAUAUGGAAUAUGUUGCCAUUUGGGAUUCAUCCCAUGUCUGUCUGUCUGGCUCCCAUAACGAUGGUCUGUCUGGCUCCCAUAACGAUGGUCUGUCUGUCUGGCUCCCAAAACGAUGGUCUGUCUGGCUCCCAUAAUGAUGGUCUGUCUGGCUCCCAUAACGAUGGUCUGUCUGUCUGUCUGUCUGACUCUCAUAACGGUGGUCUUUCUGGCUGUGAAGCUCCCAUAAUGAUCAUCUGUCUGUCUGGCUCCCAUAACGAUGGUCUGUCUGGCUUCCAUAAGGAUGGUCUGUCGGUCUGUCUGGCUCUUAUAACGAUGGUCUGUCUAGCUCCCGUAACAAUGAUCUGUCUGGCUCCCGUAACAAUGCUCUGUCUGGCUCCCGUAACAAUGGUCUGUGUAGCUCCCGUAACGAUGGUCUGUCUGUCUAGCUCCCGCAACGAUGGUCUGUCUGGCUCCCGUAACGAUGGUCUGUCUGGCUUCCGUAAUGAUGGUCUGUCUGUCUUGCUCCCAUAAUGAUGGUCUGUCUGUCUGGCUCCCAUAACGAUGGUCUGUCUGUCUGGCUCCCAUAACAAUGGUCUGUCUGUCUGGCUCCCAUAACAAUGGUCUGUCUGGCUUCCAUAACGAUGGUCUAUCUGUCUGGCUCCCAUAACGAUGGUAUGUCUGUCUGGCUCCCAUAACAAUGGUCUGUCUGGCUUCCAUAACGAUGGUCUAUCUGUCUGGCUCCCAUAACGAUGGUAUGUCUGUCUGUCUGGCUCCCAUAACGAUGGUCUGUCUGGCUCCCAUAACCAUGGUCUGUCUGUCUGGCUCCCAUAACCAUGGUCUGUCUGUCUGGCUCCCAUAACGAUGGUCUGUCUGUCUGGCUCCCAUAACAAUGGUCCUUCUGGCUCCCAUAACCAUGGUCUGUCUGUCUGGCUCCCAUAACCAUGGUCUGUCUGUCUGGCUACCAUAACCAUGGUCUGUCUGGCUCCCAUAACCAUGGUCUGUCUGUCUGGCUACCAUAACCAUGGUCUGUCUGGCUCCCAUAACCAUGGUCUGUCUGGCUCCCAUAACCAUGGUCUGUCUGUCUGGCUCCCAUAACCAUGGUCUGUCUGUUUGUUUGGUCUGUGGAUGAUGGGAAUAACAGUGGAUCUGUUUGUUAGCCCUGAUCUGACAUCUUUAACUCGAUUCAAACGUUUUCUAUUUUCUUCAACAGACGAGCGCUUCAGUGUCCUGGUACUUAUGGCCUUGUUCUACCUUGUUAUUACUCACUCUGUCCCCGAUCCUGUCCCUCUCCUUGUUCUACCUUGUUAUUACUCACUCUGUCCCCGAUCCUGUCCCUCUCCUUGUUCUACCUUGUUAUUACUCACUCUGUCCCCGAUCCUGUCCCUCUCCUUGUUCUACCUUGUUAUUACUCAGUCCCCGAUCCUGUCCCUUUCCUUGUUCUACCUUGUUAUUACUCACUCUGUCCCCGAUCCUGUCCCUCUCCUUGUUCUACCUUGUUAUUACUCACUCUGUCCCCGAUCCUGUCCCUCUCCUUGUUCUACCUUGUUAUUACUCACUCUGUCCCCGAUCCUGUCCCUCUCCUUGUUCUACCUUGUUAUUACUCACUCUGUCCCCGAUCCUGUCCCUCUCCUUGCUCUCUUCUGGGUAUCCACCUCUCCAUCCCACAUAGUUAGCAGAGUGAAUUGGCUUCCCUCUCUUUCGCCUUGCAGUUUUACAGAUCAUCCAUGCUUUUAUAUGGGAUCAAACCAAAAAAGAGGGUGUAAACCAAUGUACACCUGGCAUGAGAUGACACUGAGUUGUGCUUCAGUCGAAGUGCUGUGUCCUUCAGAAACCAAGAGGAUUCCCUUCUAGAACUAGAAGGAGAAAUAGAAUGGAUUCCUUCUAAUUCUAUGGGUUCUCUCCAGGUCCAGGCCAGGUGCUGUCUGUCUGUCUGUCUGUCUGUCUGUCUGUCUGUCUGUCUGGUGCUGCUGUGUUCUAGCCUUAACAUUCCAAGCAGGGUCAUGUGGACCCGCUGAGUAGCAUUCUGGGUAAUUUAGGACUGUGUCAACUAACCUCAGCCCAUGUCAUGUCUCAUAAUAGCCAGGGGAAGAAGAAUACUAAUAAAAAUAUCUGUAAGGCAAGAGAUGGUGUCCCUGUUAAGAUUUACCUUAAGCUAAACAACGGUAAAUGCUUCUACAAUAAAACAUUUUUUUUUUUUAUCAAUUGAAAUAAUUGUUUUGAAGUUUACAAUCUUAACAAAAAGCAGAACUAUUCAAGUCUAUAUCCUAAAUGAUUGUCAAGAUUCUUUAAAGAAAAAGUUACUUCAUUUUUUUGGGUUAUUUGUUCUUUUUUCUAGAAGAGAAGAAAAGUCACGUGAAAACCUCACUAUAAUCAGACAAGAAAUCAGAAUCAUAUUUACUGUGUAUUUACUUCACUUCUUAUUACGUGCCUUAUGAUGUAACGUGUUCAUAAUCAAUAUAGGUUUUAUACGGUGUCUGUCUAUCAAAUCGCACCCUAUCCCCUAUAUGAUGCAUUCAUUUAAAGUAGUGCACUAGAUAGGGAAUAGGGUGUAAUAUGAGACGGACACUAUCCUAUGACAGAUUUGAUUCAUGUAGAGAACUGUGUUUUAUAUGUUGGCUGUAUUAUAUGAUCUUUUUGAAAUGGAAGUUAAUGUUUGGUGCUUUGAGUGCACUUCUUAGAGAAAUGAACAGGAAUCUCUGAAAUGCCACAGUGCGUGUGUGUACCGUGGGCCUCUCUAUCCCUGUAACACAGAAUAAUUAUUUCAAAGUUUGAAGACUUAUUCAAAGUCUUACACUUAUUUGGGACUUGGAUGUAGGCAUGUAUAACGUGCUAUUACUCGUUUUAGGUUUUCAUUCUAGUUUUAUUAGCUCGCUUGGGCAAGCAGUUCUGCAGCAGCAUCCUCAGAAUGCCUUGUUAUUACAAUUUAUUGAAGAAAAUACUGAUUGUUUAACAAAUCUGGUGAGGUCCAAAAAAAAGGGGCUUAGGUUUCAACAGUUAGAAGUGAAGCCAGUUUCUACAGUUAGAAGUGAAGCCAGUUUCAACAGUUAGAAGUGAAACCAGUUUCUACAGUUAGAAGUGAAACCAGUUUCUACAGUUAGAAGUGAAGCCAGUUUCUACAGUUAGAAGUGAAGCCAGUUUCUACAGUUAGAAGUGAAGCCAGUUUCUACAGUUAGAAGUGAAGCCAGUUUCUACAGUUAGAAGUGAAGCCAGUUUCUACAGUUAGAAGUGAAGCCAGUUUCUACAGUUAGAAGUGAAGCCAGUUUCUACAUUAGAAGUGAAGCCAGUUUCUACAGUUAGAAGUGAAGCCAGUUUCUACAGUUAGAAGUGAAGCCAGUUUCUAAAGUUAGAAGUGAAGCCAGUUUCUACAGUUAGAAGUGAAACCAGUUUCUACAGUUAGAAGUGAAGCCAGUUUCUACAGUAGAAGUGAAACCAGUUUCUACAGUAGAAGUGAAACCAGUUUCUACAGUUAGAAGUGAAACCAGUUUCUACAGUAGAAGUGAAGCCAGUUUCUACAGUAGAAGUGAAGCCAGUUUCUACAGUUAGAAGUGAAGCCAGUUUCUACAUUAGAAGUGAAACCAGUUUCUACAGUUAGAAGUGAAGCCAGUUUCUACAGUUAGAAGUGAAGCCAGUUUCUACAGUAGAAGUGAAACCAGUUUCUACAGUAAAAUAAAAGUGAAACCAGUUUCUAUAGUAGAAGUGAAGCCAGUUUCUACAGUUAGAAGUGAAGCCAGUUUCUACAGUUAGAAGUGAAGCCAGUUUCUACAGUAGAAGUGAAGCCAGUUUCUACAGUAGAAGUGAAGCCAGUUUCUACAGUAGAAGUGAAGCCAGUUUCUACAGUAAAAGUGAAGCCAGUUUCUACAGUAAAAGUGAAGCCAGUUUCUACAGUUAAAAGUGAAGCCAGUUUCUACAGUUAGAAGUGAAACCAGUUUCUACAGUUAGAAGUGAAACCAAUUUCUACAGUUAGAAGUGAAGCCAGUUUCUACAGUUAGAAGUGAAGCCAGUUUCUACAGUAGAAGUGAAACCAGUUUCUACAGUUAGAAGUGAAGCCAGUUUCUACAGUAGAAGUGAAACCAGUUUCUACAGUUAGAAGUGAAGCCAGUUUCUACAGUAGAAGUGAAGCCAGUUUCUACAGUUAGUGUGUUUGUAGUGAGCUGAUUACACAAUACACAUUGAGGGACAAUCAGUGGUAGUGUUUCACUCAAUGUUUGAAAGAUGCUGGGGUACCAAAUCGUACCCUAUUCCCUAUAUAGUGCACUACUGUUGACUGGUUAUCAGUUCAUUUUAAAAUACACCUGGAUAGGGUAUAAUGUUAUUCUAACGUACAUAGCCUAUGUGAUACGUACGUUACCUAGGUUCACUUAUUCCUCUGAUGUUGAGGCCCACAACAACCCUCUCAGGUCAUUUCAGGUUUUCCUACAUUUCGCUGUUUUUGAGUGAAGCUGUUUUAGAAAAUCUCCCAUCUCGUUUUCUUUUUAGCUGUAAUCUUAUUUGACUUGUUUCUCAUAUUAUUCAUUAGAGGGUAUUUUUCAUUUGAUCUGCAGUGAUAACGUGUUUUAUUAGAAUAUUUUCUUUAAAAGGUAAAAAACUGGUUAUGGUUGUCUGUCGCUCUGUUUUUCACAACAACAGUUGUUUGUUUUUUUGUUGCUGAAAACCCCUGAGGAUGCGUCCUCAGUAGCAAGCUAUGUUCUAUAUAUAGUGCAGUACUUCUGACCCGGGCACUGACCUCGGCCCAAUGCUGUUGGGUGCAUCAAAAAUAGUGAGGAAUAGUAUACAGGGAAUAGGACUGUGGUGUCUGAGGGCUGGUUCAGACUGUGAACCUCAUAAACCACCAUCCUGGUUAUUUAUGCAGAAGUCUUAGUUUAGCUCGGGUCCAGGGAGUUUAAGUGACGCCCUGGAUCAGAGCUACUGAGCUGCCUCGGUCGUGGUCUUCAUCCUACGUAUCUUUCCGUGGAUUGAUUCUCUCACGUCUCAUAGGCGAUGUUAUUGAAAACCUUUUUCAUUUCUGAAUAGGAAAGAAGCCAGACAUGACUCUAAACCUUUUGUAUCGUCGUGAAAGCGGAUUAUUCUAGAAUGUCUGAAUGUUCUAUGUCUCUCUCUAACCUUCAGAUCGAACCACACGGCGCUCUCUACAUCUCUGUCCCGACUGAAUAGUUUCAAGGUUUGCAAUCCCAAAUGGCAUCCUGUUCCCCAUGUAGGGCCACUGGUAAAAAGUAGUGCACUAAAUGGGGAAUAGGGUGCCAUUUGGGAGGUAGACCAAGUCACAUCUUAACUCAGGCAGCAUAGUUCAGCCAUGAUGAAAGACUUUAUGCUUUUUAUUUCAAUUGUGACUAACAUUUUACAUUAUCAAACGGGCUGAGACACUAAAAUCCUCAUGUUUUUUUUUAAUACUCAAUCGUCACAAACAACAAAAAACAAACCGGACCAAAGUUGAUGUGCCUUUCAUUGAUCUGUUAUUCAUCUCCUUGUUCCAUCCUCCAUCGCUAUUAUUUAAAUGAAAGUCCGUCAUUGCUCAAGACGAGAUCGUUGCUUCCAUCAACAACAAAAAAAUGGAGUCCAUUCCUAGCCUGGUCCAACCAGACUGAACGCUGUGCUCACUACAGAAAUGUAAUGAUAUUAGGUUGGAUACCAGGCUUGCCCAUUUGUUCCCACUUACCCUCAAAACACAAAAAAAAAACCUAACUAAAUGUAACCUUUAGCACUGAAACCAAAGGAAUUGAUUCCUCUAUUAGAACGAACUGUCAUGAUGACAGAGUAGCGUCCUUCGCUGGACCCGGGCUCGAGUCCCACACGGGGCUACCCCUCGAAUUCGCUACAGUAGAUUUGCUUUACCGUUUUGCGUCCAGACUCAGAGAUUCUGAUGAAUGUUUGAAGUGUUUCCUGACAUUCUACCAUUACUUUAAAUCACUGAAUUAUAUGGGAGACAAUUAAGAAGUUCAAUUGAUUUCCUGUUCCAUUAUUAUUAAAGGGAGAGAUGAUACAUUUUAAAGAGGCUUAUAUUUGCACAGCACCUAGUCAGGCCGCAUCCCAAAUGGGACUCUAUCCCCUAUUUACGUUCCCCAAUGAGUGCUAUCUGUAGGCGACGGGGUUCCAUUUGGGACGUAGUAGUAUCUCUUCUGAUCUGAUUUCAUUCUGUUUUUUCUUUUUGUGUUUUUCUUCGUCUCAUCACGGCGCGUCUUGAUAACAGACCUGGGUUUCUAUUCAAUCCGUAUUGGGGAGAUUCGGCCUUAACAUCGCGAUUUCGUUUAAAUGUCAACAUUCCCGCGUUAGUGGAGCUGCGUUCACGGUAAACGCCGCCUGUGUCGGCUCAAUCAGAAAAUGGCCUUUUAAUUUGACCACUUCAGCGAUACAGACUGAAUGGAGACUAAAGCUAAUAGUCCAAUGUUUCACAACCAAAAUAAAACAACAAAUGCUGUAAUCAAACAUGUCCUUUUUUUCCUAGUCUGGCCAAGAAAAAGGUUAAUGAGGCCAAGAUAGCUACAAACAACAACAAGACAUGGACGUUUUAUUUUUUGUAUUUGAAGAUGAGCACAUGAAAAAACAACUUGUCUUGUGUAUUUUGAUAUAAUACCAGGUUUGAUUUGUAAAGCAGUGUGUGUGACGUCGUGGGGAUGGAAGGUUUGGGGUGAGAAACAACAGGUUUCCUUUACGAGUUGAUGUAAUCAGAAUGCAAAUAGAUUAAAACUAUUAAAGAAACAUAUUUUCAAAUUUUUUGCGGUGCAUGGUUGAGUGGAGUUUCUGUAUUUUAUAUAGAAACAUUUUCAUUCAUGUUUUUGAAUUGAUUAUUACUAUGAUUAUCAUAAUCCUUAUUAUUAUAAUUAUUACACCAGAAUCCCAACUAUAAUUGUAGCAUGCCUUGAAUAAAUGUCAUGACCUCUGUACUGUCCUCAGUCCUCCAGUCUUCCUGUCUUCUUGGCUCUCCCUCACACGCUCUCAAUCAAACCCGUCUCAACUGUGUGUCUGUAAUGGCACCCUAUGCCCUAUAUAGUGCACUACAUUUAACCGCUCAAAACUG